GACGAACGCUGGCGGCGUGCUUAACACAUGCAAGUCGAACGAUGAAGCCAGCUUGCUGGUGGAUUAGUGGCGAACGGGUGAGUAACACGUGGGUGAUCUGCCCCAAACUUUGGGAUAAGCCUGGGUAACUGGGACUAAUACCGAAUAUGACUGAUACGCUCAUCGGCGUUGUUGGAAAGCCCCGGCGGGUUGGGCUGGGCCCGCGGCCUAUCAGCUUGUUGGUGGGGUAAUUGCCUACCAAGGCGACGACGGGUAGCCGGCCUGAGAGGGCGACCGGCCACACUGGGACUGAGAGACGGCCCAGAAUCCUACGGGAGGCAGCAGGGGGGAAUAUGGCACAAUGGGGGCAAGCCUGAUGCAGCGACGCCGCGUGAGGGAUGACGGCCUUCGGGUUGUAAACAUCUUUCACCAGGGACGAAGCGAAAGUGACGGUACCUGGAGAAGAAGCACCGGCCAACUACGUG
Molecule: ribosomal RNA, 464 nt
Filed under: uncultured bacterium
Lineage: Bacteria
Description: partial 16S ribosomal RNA
Rfam family: Bacterial small subunit ribosomal RNA
Source: RNAcentral